RNAcentral lists this ribosomal RNA (842 nucleotides) under Antrodia sitchensis. RNAcentral's name for it is "LSU rRNA". It matches the Rfam family "Eukaryotic large subunit ribosomal RNA", at positions 110 to 938 of the family's 3401-position model. Lineage: Eukaryota; Fungi; Basidiomycota; Agaricomycetes; Polyporales; Fomitopsidaceae. The record is from RNAcentral.
CAAAUUUAAAAUCUGGCAGUCUUUGGCUGUCCGAGUUGUAGUCUGGAGAAGUGCUUUCCGCGCUGGACCGUGUACAAGUCUCUUGGAAUAGAGCGUCAUAGAGGGUGAGAAUCCCGUCUUUGACACGGACUACCAGUGCUUUGUGAUGCGCUCUCAAAGAGUCGAGUUGUUUGGGAAUGCAGCUCAAAAUGGGUGGUAAAUUCCAUCUAAAGCUAAAUAUUGGCGAGAGACCGAUAGCGAACAAGUACCGUGAGGGAAAGAUGAAAAGCACUUUGGAAAGAGAGUUAAACAGUACGUGAAAUUGCUGAAAGGGAAACGAUUGAAGUCAGUCGCGUUGGCCAGAACUCAGCCUUGCUUUUGCUUGGUGCAUUUUCUGGUUAACGGGCCAGCAUCAAUUUUGACCGCUGGAUAAAGGUGGAGGGAAUGUGGCACCUUCGGGUGUGUUAUAGCCCUCUGUCACAUACAGCGGUUGGGAUUGAGGAACUCAGCACACCUUUAUGGUCGGGGUUCGCCCACGCUUGUGCUUAGGAUGCUGGCGUAAUGGCUUUAAACGACCCGUCUUGAAACACGGACCAAGGAGUCUAACAUGCCUGCGAGUAUUUGGGUGGAAAACCCGAGUGCGCAAUGAAAGUAAAAGUUAGGAUCUCUGUCAUGGAGAGCACUGACGCCCGGACCAGACCUUUUGUGACGGCUCCGCGGUAGAGCAUGUAUGUUGGGACCCGAAAGAUGGUGAACUAUGCCUGAAUAGGGUGAAGCCAGAGGAAACUCUGGUGGAGGCUCGUAGCGAUUCUGACGUGCAAAUCGAUCGUCAAAUUUGGGUAUAGGGGCGAAAGACUAAUCGA